This 242-nucleotide long non-coding RNA is filed under the name Elaeis guineensis (African oil palm). RNAcentral's name for it is "long non-coding RNA (EGUI_LNC043151)". Lineage: Eukaryota; Viridiplantae; Streptophyta; Magnoliopsida; Arecales; Arecaceae. The record is from RNAcentral.
GCCGGCUGUUCCCCAUUGAAGAAAAUGGUCGAAGAUUUUGCAGUCAAUCUUUGGCCAUACUGCAAACAGAAGCCGAACAGCGAGCAGAGAUUAGGGCAAAGCCAGGUCCAGUGAGCCCCUUCACCUUGCCCCGGAGAAACUAAGAAAGCAUGUUGUUCAUAAAACGAAGGUGGUGGCCACCUCUCCUCCCUCCCUUUCCUCCUCCUUCCAUACUUUCCUCAUAUUCUUCCUCGUCGGCCGCC